This is a long non-coding RNA of Ctenopharyngodon idella (grass carp), 5541 nucleotides long. RefSeq lists it as uncharacterized. The record is from RefSeq and is a predicted model, not a curated record. NCBI's taxonomy places the organism in Eukaryota, Metazoa, Chordata, Actinopteri, Cypriniformes, Xenocyprididae. The transcript has 2 exons.
GUGGGUGACAGCUUUACAGUGCGCUCGGACGAAGAAGUCAAGCAGCCCCUUUUCUUACAGUUGCCAUCUUACAAAGCUUUAUUAUAGACUCUAACGCCGUGUCUACAUUGUAAAAGAGCGACGCGACGCUACAAAACUUAAACGAAACCACUACAAUAUUAUAACGGUCGAUUUCUAUUUUUGUCGCGUCGCGUGCGGUAAUUACGUAAUUACGCACUUGUGGCGGUUCCCAACAGCUUAUGCAAAUACAUUGUACAUGUCUGCUUUGGCCAAGAACCUUUAAAUGACUUGAGGACGGGUUUUCGUGAAGUUGAAGACAUGAUAAAUUCAUUAAGAAGACGAAGAACGCGGAGUGGGGUUGACAUCCUUUCUGGACAUUUAUACAGUUUCUCACUAGGCAUUUUUGCUGUCAGCGCUGGAGGAAAAGUAACGGACGGACAUCUGCGAAGAAGUUUGUGAAAGAAAGUUCAUUGGACGGAUCUUUCUUAGUAAAUACAGACAUUCUGACUGUAACUUCGGCUGGCACCAAGUCUGAUGACUUUUCCCAGAAGAUUCAGUGAAGACAUAGAGAGAGGGGGCAGAAAGAGAGCCUUCUUGUCCAAUAAGAGAAAAGGGGACUGAAGAAUGUGAAAAGCUCCCAUUCAAGCCAGUUCAGAGGGGCUGGGAGCGGCCACAUCCUCAGGAGGGAGGAGGGGUUGCUGCUUUCGGGAGGGUGGGCUAGGGAUCCUGGACAGGGGCCAGGAGCGAUGCAGAGGCUCCUCGGAUGACGCUGGUCCGUGAGAGCGUCCAGUGUCUCCGCCUCUCCUCUGUCCCUUGGGACAUCGACUCCGGACCCCUCACAUUCUAUUUACUUGCACAAACAAACUCUCCCCGCAGUUCCUCUACCCUAAGAGUAGGCUGCAGGGUGAGGAAUGUGUCUCUAUUAAUAGAGCGGUUAGAUUAUCUCAAAGACUAAUGUCUGGCAUGUCCAGAUUCCUGAAAGGCACGGCAGUGACAUACUCUCAUCUACCGCUCCUCAUUCAUUGGCAAUGAUCUCAUUUCCUUUGAUAUUCUAUGAAUUUAACUCGUGGUUCUCUUUUUAAAACAGUUUAUGUUGUACAUGCACAGCUUUAUCAUUAAUGAGAACUAAAACAUAUACAUUUAUUAAUUUUGCAGACGUUUUUAUUUAUUAGCAAUUAAACAAGAAAAGAGAAGAAAACUAAAAUAACUCAAAUUAAAAUAACUAACAUAACUGGAAAAAACUAAAAUACAAAAUAAAAAUAUGGUCACAAAUUUUUGUUUUUGAUACAUGUGCAUAAUGAGUAAUAACACCAGACUGCUGAGAUAUUUAACGCUUUAAAAUUAUGCCAGUUAGCACAUUAACUUUGGCAGCCCUAAAAGUUCAAUUAAAAAAAACUAAAAUAACAAGUAAAUAAGUUUACAAGUAAAUAAUCUGGCCAUUCACAUAUUCCAUAACGAAAUGUCUUCAGCAGAAUUUAGCUCAUAGGAACACUAUCUCUACAACGGUAAUUUUAAAUAACACAUUAUCUUCAGAAAUAGAAAUUAGGCGGAGUGUGUGUAAGGCCGGCCAUGGACUAUUUUCUCACUCAAACCACUACCCGCUGCUGCUUCUGAUUGCUUUUAGAAGGAAAAACUGCACAUAACUACUGGUGUAGGUGCAGUUAAUAUUAGCAUAUUGGCGAAACAUAUUUGGCAAACGAUCCAGUGCGUGUUUGUGCUCUGAAGAACGACAAGGCUUUACAACGUGUUCUUGCAGCGUUGAGCAGUGUAGCCAAUCACGAACAAAUCUGUUGAUUUCUAGAAAGCAAUGACCAAUCAGAGGUGCAACUUAGCACUGAACAAAAACUCAUUUUGAGCGGUGAGUGGAUUCUGAGUUGUGGACGCUGGCAAAUAUUCCCUCAUUAUAACAAACAAUUAUGUAAAUUGUUAUGUAAUUAUGCAGUCAGUUUAAUUUAUUGUUACAGAACUUCUUGAGAUUGCAAUGAACUAAGAUAAGUGAGAUUUUUAGUGAUUAUAAAGGGACUUUUGCGCACUCUCUGCCAAAUCCCGCGUGCGUAAUCUGUUAAAAUUAACAGUGGUUUGUGAACGUAAACACUUUAUUAACAAAUAAUUUAUCAGCAGUGUUUAUGUUGGGAUAUGUAAGUUGUGCUGUGUCAAGUAAGUUAAAACUAUUUAAGGAAAUCUGUUUUAAUGUGUUUUUAAAUGGGAAUCACAUCUCCUUACCCUGGAGUUGGUUCACCCUCCGCCUAUGAUCAGAAAAUUCAUAUUUAACGCAUUAUUACACAAAGCGGAACUUGAAACAUAAUUAGGCCUUAUUUAUAAAUGACUAGUAUCACUCAGAGACCCGCCGCCUUCAACUAUUUUAAUGGUGAGUACACUCAAAGUCUUUGUUACAAAUCAAUAAUAUUUUUAUUGCUAUUUGGUAUGUAUCGUUUUUAUUAUUGUGUUGUUCGAGGAAUUGAAAAGCUUUUGUGCCUUGUGUUUGCAAAGUAUAUUGCCAUAAUGCAAAGGGGAUUAUGGAUCAACUAUCUUGUGUUUUUGUGGUAAUAUAGAACUUUAUUUCUUUAUAGAAGUCUAUUUCUUUAGAUAUAGAAGUCUAUUUCAUUAAUAAUAAAUAUGGGACGUUAUUAUUUUGGCGAACAUCUGUUUCUCAGAUUAUAAAAAUGUGUGCCCCCCUGUGAAAACCGAAUACCCCCCCAUUCUAUAUGUUCUGGCGACGGCCCUGUGCUGCUGCACAUAUAACAUGAAAUAAACCCUGUAGCAGAUCUAUACAGGUGGAGCUGGGGAAGGUGGAGGGUUUCUGAAAGCGCACUGCAGACUGCUAACAGCAAACAAUGGCAAGUAUUUGAAUGAUUGAGCAGCAAGCUCAUUGGCCGCUGAUACCACAGCAACCAAUCAGCUGCGCUAUGUAGAUAAUGAUGUGAUCGCUACCAAAUGAGUUAAGGACAUAUCAGCCAGCACCAUCUAGAGUUUCAUGCCCGAACUUUGUAUUUGUAAACUCUUAAAAUAAUAAUGAAACUAAAUAAAAACAAAAAUUUACUGAAAAGACAGAAAUAAAAGUAAAGUAGAUAAAUUAAAAAAAGAAAAUAGAAAUAGAAACUAAACUGAAAACUAUAAUAACCCUGCUUAAGCAUAGUGCUUGUAUUUGCAUUGACGAAACGCAAUAUUCAGGUAUACUUUGGUCAAGAAUUCUUUGCAAUGAAGGAAUUGCCAGAUCGCUCCAUCCCAGCCUGACUUGGGAACCCAUAUGAGCUUCAGGGAGUGUAAACAUCCUACACUCUCAGCUGGAGCCCAGCCCGAGGCCGGGAGUGGGAUGUUUGCGCUCUCUGGCUCAGGAACGCCACAGCUCACUACGGCUCCACUAUGGAGGAGAAAAACAUAUUUAUAAAGUUGUUGAGAUGUUCUCCUUUUUGAGUUGCAGUAGACCUGAAAUUGCAACUGAGCACUUUGAAAUUCACUGGAACUACAAUCACUGGAGCAGGUAGCAAUCACUUAACUUAAGGGUACUGAUUGGGUUCACUUGUUGGCAGUAGUGUUACUUUUACUUAAAAUCUUUGCAUACAAAUGGCUUUUUAGCAUUAUCGGGGUUGUGCAAAGUUCAGAAAUGAAGAAUCUAUCUAUCUAUCUAUCUAUCUAUCUGUCUAUCUAUCUGUCUGUCUGUCCAUCUUUAAGGUAUAUAAAACCUUCAAUCUUCAAGACUUAAACCAUUUUUUUACACUUUCAAGCCAACAUUUUUGCAUCCUUAAUUCAGUUUUGAAAGGUGCAUGGCCCUGAUCAUUAUAAACGUAUAUACAUUGUGCAAACCGUAUGUAAAGUAUGUACUUCCUGGACUUUGUGGCUAGAUUUUGAAGUGGAUAUGGGAGCUUUGUAACGCACACAGGAAGUGAACUCCAUUGUGAGCAUUGUAAGGGCUCUGAGGGUGAGUGGCCUGUCAUCAAGACGUUCAGGCUGAACUCUAGGUCUCUUUGAAGCUUUCUGACCCCUCUGUCCAACUGCAAGUGCCUCCACCCAGACAGAGCUGCCGAUGGAAUUGCCUGAGAGGAAGUGACUAUUUAUACCCACUAAGGAACAGAGAAAGGCACCCUUCCGAUGGGCGUCUCUCCUCUUGCUUCCUUUGACAAAUAUGUUAGGACUGCUCUCAUGAAAGCUAAACCCAACUCUACGCAGAUAUGUGCAACAUCCAGUGCUCUCAAGUUAUCUGUGUACACGCCUAGCCAUGUUUUGGUUACCAUUCUCUUCUACUGCAAUGACCUUUAUCCACUUUUGCUUGGUGAUGUCAUAACUUAAGCAUCUCUCAUACUGGGCCACUAGGUGGCAGACUAACUCCAGAAAAUGCCUAAUGCUUCACACAUUGCUUGGAAGAAGAGUAGACAAAAAUGCUUCUGUUCACUAGCCAAUUGUUUGAAAAAUGUUCCACUACAAAACUUGUAGGCAUAUUCUACGUUUUUCUUUUUAACAACCUUUGCUUUUCUUAUGUGUCCCUAAUUCAACGACACCAAACCAGAGAUGUAUUCAUUUUACUCAUAUUAAACAUAUAAUUUAGCAUUUACAUUGUUUAUUAAAAACUCUUUUAAAAACAAUCUAUACUGUAAACAACCAAAGUAACAUUCUCCUACAAGUUUCACACACAAAUGUAUAAAACUUGCAUUAUUUGCAAACUUGCAAAAUUAGCAUUUUAAAAUGAUUGACAGCACCAAUAUUUUUUUAAAAUAUAUUUAAAUACUCUUUGUCACUGGUUUCGAUGGCUGUAUUUGAAAUUAUGGCAAGUACAACAAAGUGAAAAAUAGCUCCUGUUCUGUCAUCAUUGCUUUGUACCAAUUUUAGUUUUUUUUUUUUUUUUUUUGCUUAUUCUUAUGUAACUUUAUUACUUUGAGUUUGAUGAACUUAAACCAUUUAAGUAGCUAUAUAGUUGUUAACACUUGAAUUAAAAAUUAAUGAGUGGAAUAAACUUAAAAUCUUUAAGUUGAGUUUAUGAUUGACUAAACCAACACUAAAAUAUGAGUGAAUUUAACUUAAUGUAUGUGAAUUUACAGUAGUCAUACUUAUUGGUUUUAAAACUUAAAUGGUUUAAGGCAAUGGUUUGAGUUACCAUAACUUAUCCGGUUUAGUGAAAUUUUGACCUCAUUCACACCACAGUGCAUUUUCCUGCUCUAGUCACACUGAGCAAGUAAAACCCGGUGGGAAAUGUUCAAACCAAUUGACACCCUCUGAUCAAGCUCAAGUGGAGAAGUCAAAACAACUGAAGUAUGACAACAAGGACAUCAUUCAUUAUUAGUUUCACUUUUUCCCUUCUUGUCAUGCUCUUUAAACUGAAUUCUGUAAGAUCCUUACAGCAAGUUCCUUUCAAAUGUUUCAAACAAUCUCGCCCCACAGGUGGCACAGCAAUGGGAAGUUGAAGCAAGCAAAUUGGUAUGUAUGUGUUAUAUGUAAAGUAAACACAACAUUAUCAUAGUAAAUGCAUUGUCAGCAAUGAACACAUUGGGAGGAAUGUUCUGUGACUGUUGUUCCUUGUUUAAUAAACAGCUGACUUGUUGACUCUUC